Molecule: long non-coding RNA, 455 nt
Organism: Strongylocentrotus purpuratus (purple sea urchin)
Lineage: Eukaryota; Metazoa; Echinodermata; Echinoidea; Camarodonta; Strongylocentrotidae
Exons: 4
Source: RefSeq, a predicted model, not a curated record
UCAUCCAUGACGUCAUCUUUGUGCAACAUGGCGGCAAACACAAAAGUUCUACGCGCUGAGUAGUCUGCUGCGGCGUUCGACUCUUCGUGAGCAGUGUGCCGGGAUUUUCGUUUAUGAAUAGAAAUCUCAGGGAUCAAACUCAAAGUUUCACUACCAAGUCAAGUGUCAGUGACGUCACGUUCCUGGUGAUAUUAUUAUGGGCCUGCUACGAUUACAUUUCAGAUAUUAACCAUGGCAGGAAGAGAGUUUGUUGUUUUAUACACACAUCAGAAGAGGAAGAAAGCCAAGGUUUGGCAAGAUGGUGUCCUCAAGAUCAAUGACCAAGGAACCAAAGCUGAUCUUAUCGGAGCAGGAAACAAAAGGUUGGAUCAAGUUCAUAUCAAAGCAAACCAGGCUGCCAUUGGAGAAGAGCUAGAAAGUGAGAAAUAUUUGAUCACAAUCGAAGAAAAUGUAUC